This 289-nucleotide unclassified non-coding RNA is filed under the name uncultured Helotiales. RNAcentral's name for it is "sequence contains ITS1". The stretch from base 1 to 105 matches the Rfam family "5.8S ribosomal RNA", at positions 50 to 154 of the family's 154-position model. The record is from RNAcentral. Lineage: Eukaryota; Fungi; Ascomycota; Leotiomycetes; Helotiales.
GAAAUGCGAUAAGUAAUGUGAAUUGCAGAAUUCAGUGAAUCAUCGAAUCUUUGAACGCACAUUGCGCCCCUUGGUAUUCCGGGGGGCAUGCCUGUUCGAGCGUCAUUAUAACCCUCAAGCCUAGCUUGGUGUUGGGGCAUGCCUUUGGGCAGCCCUUAAAAUCAGUGGCAGUGCCUGCCGGCUCUAAGCGUAGUAAAUCUCUCGCUACAGGGCUUGGUAGGACGCGCGCCAGAACCCCUAACUUUCUAUGGUUGACCUCGGAUCAGGUAGGGAUACCCGCUGAACUUAA